GAUGAACGCUGGCGGCGUGCCUAAUACAUGCAAGUCGAGCGAACGGACGAGAAGCUUGCUUCUCUGAUGUUAGCGGCGGACGGGUGAGUAACACGUGGAUAACCUACCUAUAAGACUGGGAUAACUUCGGGAAACCGGAGCUAAUACCGGAUAAUAUUUUGAACCGCAUGGUUCAAAAGUGAAAGACGGUCUUGCUGUCACUUAUAGAUGGAUCCGCGCUGCAUUAGCUAGUUGGUAAGGUAACGGCUUACCAAGGCAACGAUGCAUAGCCGACCUGAGAGGGUGAUCGGCCACACUGGAACUGAGACACGGUCCAGACUCCUACGGGAGGCAGCAGUAGGGAAUCUUCCGCAAUGGGCGAAAGCCUGACGGAGCAACGCCGCGUGAGUGAUGAAGGUCUUCGGAUCGUAAAACUCUGUUAUUAGGGAAGAACAUAUGUGUAAGUAACUGUGCACAUCUUGACGGUACCUAAUCAGAAAGCCACGGCUAACUACGUGCCAGCAGCCGCGGUAAUACGUAGGUGGCAAGCGUUAUCCGGAAUUAUUGGGCGUAAAGCGCGCGUAGGCGGUUUUUUAAGUCUGAUGUGAAAGCCCACGGCUCAACCGUGGAGGGUCAUUGGAAACUGGAAAACUUGAGUGCAGAAGAGGAAAGUGGAAUUCCAUGUGUAGCGGUGAAAUGCGCAGAGAUAUGGAGGAACACCAGUGGCGAAGGCGACUUUCUGGUCUGUAACUGACGCUGAUGUGCGAAAGCGUGGGGAUCAAACAGGAUUAGAUACCCUGGUAGUCCACGCCGUAAACGAUGAGUGCUAAGUGUUAGGGGGUUUCCGCCCCUUAGUGCUGCAGCUAACGCAUUAAGCACUCCGCCUGGGGAGUACGACCGCAAGGUUGAAACUCAAAGGAAUUGACGGGGACCCGCACAAGCGGUGGAGCAUGUGGUUUAAUUCGAAGCAACGCGAAGAACCUUACCAAAUCUUGACAUCCUUUGACAACUCUAGAGAUAGAGCCUUCCCCUUCGGGGGACAAAGUGACAGGUGGUGCAUGGUUGUCGUCAGCUCGUGUCGUGCGAUGUUGGGUUAGGUCCCGCAACGAGCGCAACCCUUAAGCUUAGUUGCCAUCAUUAAGUUGGGCACUCUAAGUUGACUGCCGGUGACAAACCGGAGGAAGGUGGGGAUGACGUCAAAUCAUCAUGCCCCUUAUGAUUUGGGCUACACACGUGCUACAAUGGACAAUACAAAGGGCAGCGAAACCGCGAGGUCAAGCAAAUCCCAUAAAGUUGUUCUCAGUUCGGAUUGUAGUCUGCAACUCGACUACAUGAAGCUGGAAUCGCUAGUAAUCGUAGAUCAGCAUGCUACGGUGAAUACGUUCCCGGGUCU
This 1372-nucleotide ribosomal RNA is filed under the name uncultured bacterium. Its description in RNAcentral is "bacterial SSU rRNA". It matches the Rfam family "Bacterial small subunit ribosomal RNA", at positions 28 to 1381 of the family's 1533-position model. The record is from RNAcentral.